UUUACUCGGGUAAUGAAUAACGCUGAGCCAUGUAGCCUGGGGUUUGGUGUUACUGCGUCGAUUUUGUGGGGUUUCGUUUUAUUUUGGAGGGUUGCUUGUUUGUUUGUUUUUAUGAGUUGGGGUUUUUUUUUUGGUUUUUUUUUUUUUUUUUGGGGGGGGGGAGGGUUGGAAGGCUACACAGAAGAUUGAAAAUGCAGAAUUACAAAGCAGCGCGUCUCAUACCAUAAAUUGUCCUGAGGCCAAGCGAGGAAAUAGCAAUAACAGCUGUCUGACAAAGGUGCCAGGACAGACCACAGCAAAGCUGGGCACCACAAUACUCAAGUUAUUCACACAUGCUGAUACAAUACUGAGAUGCUCGGUUCAGAGGAAGGAUAAAUUCAAAUGCCGAUGAAGUUUUUUGAAGGGGGUGGAAGGCUACACAGAACAUUAAAAAUGCAAGAUUGAAAAUGUAAACUUAGAAAGCAGUGCAUCUCAUACUUCAUCCAUAAUUAAAUAAAUUUUUUAAUACUCUUGAUGUUUAGGAGAAACAGAGGUCUGCAUGUUGAUAGCACUUCACCAUAAAUUAUUUUCUCUGAGAACAUGAAAGGUAACUUCUUUUCUAUCUUCUGGUUUCUGUGGCUCACACCACCAUUAAGCACUAAUAUGUCAAACUGAAAACUAAUGCAUAGCACCAGUAAAAUCAAAUGUUGCUUUUUCCAUGUUUUUCGGUGUCCCAGUGGCUUUUCCCUUUGUGAUAAAUUGAGUUAGUAAUUUGAUUGCAUGUCAUCUCUUUGUCUUUUAAUAAGAAGCUGUAAUUCUAAUUAGCUGUAUGUGUGUGUGAGUUUGUGUGUGUACAAAAGCACAUAAACCCAAACAGUGUGCUAUUCCAAAAUUAUAUUGGCAGAAUUAGGGCCUUGUGUAUACUGUAUGUAAGAAUAAAUUUAAUCAAGAUUUUGCUACAGAUGAUGUGGGAGAACAUCUGUUUUCCUAAUGAUAUAGAUGAGGCAAUCUGCGACCCUGCCCAUGGAAGUUCUGGCUCGUCUUCUUCUAGUCUCAGCUCUUCUCAAUCUGAAAUUCAGAGCAAUCUCCUGUUUCUUGAAUUGGAAUGGGUCUGAGGGCUGUUAUUUUGUAAAUAACAACAUAUUUUCUUGUAUCUUUCUUUAAUGACUCUCGUAUUGGCCAGUCUUUAGACUAGAGAAUUCUAUUAACUGGUCCUGUGCAGGGAUAUAUGUCAUGUUUUGUGUCCUGUUUGGCAUGGAUAUAUGAAAUACUAGAUAAAAGAUAUCUGAUUAUGUAGAUUUCCACUCCUUUUAUGUUUAAGGUAUGUCUGUCUUUGAAUCGGUUUCACAAUCUAUUUGGAGUCCCACUCUGUGUGUGCUAGAUGAAGUAGAUUUUUUUUCCUCACGUGGGAAAUGGAUAGGUUUCCCAACAGCUUUGUACUUAGAGACUGUGUGUUUAACUAGGUGACAUAUCUGUCCUGUAAUUACAUCCGUUUUCCCCACCUAGGAAAAAGAAUUGAAGGAGUCAUAUAUCUCUAUUUGUUUUGAAAUGCAAGCUCCUCAAAUUGAUGGGCAGGAGCUCAACCAGAGUGAUUGUAGUUAUCCACUGAGUAAACUCAAACAGCAGCCUGGCUCUGCCCAUCUCUGUACAUAAUGCUCUGGAUGAAAUGUGAAAAUUAGUUCUAGUUCCCAAGUCUAGGUGCUGAGACCACCCAUAGCCUUCUCAGUAUCAGAAAGAGUCCUGUGCACGUGUCUUCUGUCUCCUGAUCCUUUGGUUAUCCAAAGAGGUGUUCAGUGGGAUGCUUGGUGGAUCAACAUCUUGAGCAUGCAAUGAUGUUCAUCCCAAAGAGCCUCCAUACACCCACGGCAGAACUCAAACAGUACUAUGAGAAUACUGAGGGUCUAGCUGACACUACAUAAACACUUCCAAAGAGUUUAUGGACCAAACAUAAUAAUAAGGAUAGUUCUUAAACAAAGUGUUUUGUAGAAAUGCUGAACUUUGGUAAAUAAACCUUGAGCUGGAAAGUGGAUCUAGACUUCAGUUUAUGUAUGUGUGGUUUUAACUCUAUUAUUAAGUCAAUUUAUCUGAAGGCAUGUAUACCUUUGAAAAAUAAAA
Molecule: long non-coding RNA, 2094 nt
Organism: Corvus hawaiiensis (hawaiian crow)
Lineage: Eukaryota; Metazoa; Chordata; Aves; Passeriformes; Corvidae
Exons: 4
Source: RefSeq, a predicted model, not a curated record